GAUGAACGCUGGCGGCGUGCCUAAUACAUGCAAGUCGAGCGAACAGACGAGGAGCUUGCUCCUCUGACGUUAGCGGCGGACGGGUGAGUCACACGUGGAUAACAUACCUAUAAGACUGGGAUACCUUCGGGAAACCGGAGCUACUACCGGAUAAUAUAUUGAACCGCAUGGUUCAAUAGUGAAAGACGGUUUUGCUGUCACUUAUAGAUGGACCCGCGCCGCAUUAGCUAGUUGGUAAGGUAACGGCUUACCAAGGCUACGAUGCGUAGCCGACCUGAGAGGGUGAUCGGGCACACUGGAACUGAGACACGGUCCAGACUCCUACGGGAGGCAGCAGUAGGGAAUCUUCCGCGAUGGGCGAAAGCCUGACGGAGCAACGCCGCGGGAGGGAUGAAGGUCUUCGGAUCGUAAAACUCUGUUAUUAGGGAAGAACAAAUGUGUAAGUAACUAUGCACGUCUUGACGGUACCUAAACAGAAAGCCACGGCUAACUACGUG
Molecule: ribosomal RNA, 497 nt
Filed under: uncultured bacterium
Lineage: Bacteria
Description: partial 16S ribosomal RNA
Rfam family: Bacterial small subunit ribosomal RNA
Source: RNAcentral